Molecule: non-coding RNA, 172 nt
Organism: Haloplasma contractile SSD-17B
Lineage: Bacteria; Bacillati; Mycoplasmatota; Mollicutes; Haloplasmatales; Haloplasmataceae
Source: Rfam
UCCAUCGUGAGGUGCGAACUGAAGGAAGUGUGUAGUGAAAUCUUGGCUCGAUGAACAAAAACUAGAUAUCAAGGCAUGAUAAACGGAUAAGAUUACUAAACAAAUUGAAGUCCAAAAGAUGAGCGUAACUUUAUCAUGUAAAUCUAGCGAGUAUGAGAGGAAAGUUAUAUGU